RNAcentral lists this ribosomal RNA (254 nucleotides) under uncultured bacterium. RNAcentral describes it as "partial 16S ribosomal RNA". It matches the Rfam family "Bacterial small subunit ribosomal RNA", at positions 524 to 776 of the family's 1533-position model. The record is from RNAcentral.
UACGAAGGGGGCUAGCGUUGUUCGGAAUUACUGGGCGUAAAGCGCGCGUAGGCGGUUUUGCAAGCCAGAGGUGAAAUGCCUGAGCUCAACUCAGGAAUGGCCUUUGGGACUGCGAGGCUUUGAGGACUGGAGAGGUGAGUGGAAUUCCCAGUGUAGAGGUGAAAUUCGUAGAUAUUGGGAAGAACACCGGUGGCGAAAGCGGCUCACUGGACCUGAUCUGACACUGAGGUGCGAAAGCUAGGGUAGCAAACGGG